AACGAACGCUGGCGGCAUGCCUAACACAUGCAAGUCGAACGAGACCUUCGGGUCUAGUGGCGCACGGGUGCGUAACGCGUGGGAACCUGCCCUUAGGUUCGGAAUAACUCCCCGAAAGGGGUGCUAAUACCGGAUAAUGCCUUCGGACCAAAGAUUUAUCGCCUUUGGAUGGGCCCGCGUUGGAUUAGCUAGUUGGUAGGGUAAAAGCCUACCAAGGCGACGAUCCAUAGCUGGUCUGAGAGGAUGAUCAGCCACACUGGGACUGAGACACGGCCCAGACUCCUACGGGAGGCAGCAGUGGGGAAUAUUGGACAAUGGGCGAAAGCCUGAUCCAGCAAUGCCGCGUGAGUGAUGAAGGCCCUAGGGUUGUAAAGCUCUUUUACCCGGGAUGAUAAUGACAGUACCGGGAGAAUAAGCUCCGGCUAACUCCGUG
RNAcentral lists this ribosomal RNA (433 nucleotides) under uncultured bacterium. RNAcentral's name for it is "partial 16S ribosomal RNA". It matches the Rfam family "Bacterial small subunit ribosomal RNA", at positions 29 to 507 of the family's 1533-position model. The record is from RNAcentral.